GAUGAAGAACGUAGCGAAAUGCGAUAAGUAAUGUGAAUUGCAGAAUUCAGUGAAUCAUCGAAUCUUUGAACGCACAUUGCGCCCCUUGGUAUUCCGAGGGGCAUGCCUGUUCGAGCGUCAUUAUAACCCCUCAAGCUCAGCUUGGUGUUGGGGCCUGCUGCACUGGCAGCCCUUAAAAUCAGUGGCGGCGCCAUCUGGCUCUAAGCGUAGUAAUUCUUCUCGCUAUGGAGUCCUGGUGGAUGCUUGCCAUCAACCCCCAAUUUUUCUAUGGUUGACCUCGGAUCAGGUAGGGAUACCCGCUGAAUUUAAGCAUAUCAAUAAGCGGAGGA
RNAcentral lists this unclassified non-coding RNA (329 nucleotides) under soil metagenome. Its description in RNAcentral is "partial contains 5.8S ribosomal RNA, internal transcribed spacer 2, and large subunit ribosomal RNA". The stretch from base 1 to 120 matches the Rfam family "5.8S ribosomal RNA", at positions 35 to 154 of the family's 154-position model. The record is from RNAcentral.